Molecule: long non-coding RNA, 372 nt
Filed under: Bos taurus (domestic cattle)
Lineage: Eukaryota; Metazoa; Chordata; Mammalia; Artiodactyla; Bovidae
Description: long non-coding RNA NONBTAT009838
Source: RNAcentral
GAAUCAGCCUAACACAGGCUGACUAGCAUGGUGCUCUUCCCUGAAAAAGAAUCCCCUCAUUUGUUGGAGUUUGAAAGCCUCCUAAGAGCCUUUCUCACCAUCAGGAGAGACAAGGCUAAAAUGUAUCCGCCUGGCAGCAUGGGCUCCUCCCUUAAGCAUAUUCACACUAAGGUAUAGAGUGGUAGGAGGGGUCCUCAGGGCACAGAAGGAAGGCAGGAUGGAGGAAGCCCUGAGUGGAUCAUGGGGGCGGGCAGUACAGGUUAAUCUUAAGGAAUGAUUCCCCCCAAAAAAACUUCAUGAGAUUUUAAUGUCUUAAAUGGUGCCCUUACAUUCUGAAACACAAGAUGAUUUCAAAUUGAGUAUAAUCCGAAG